Molecule: ribosomal RNA, 553 nt
Filed under: uncultured eukaryote
Lineage: Eukaryota
Description: bacterial SSU rRNA
Rfam family: Eukaryotic small subunit ribosomal RNA
Source: RNAcentral
UGAUCCUGCCAGUAGUCAUAUGCUUGUCUCAAAGAUUAAGCCAUGCAUGUCUCAGUAUAAGUCUUUACACGGCGAAACUGCGAAUGGCUCAUUAAAACAGUUAUAGUUUACAUGGCGGUCACUCGUUAUAUGGAUAACUGUGGUAAUUCUAGAGCUAAUACAUGCACAAAAACGCGACUUCACGGAAGCGUUGUGUUUAUUAGAUACAGAACCAAUCCCUUCGGGGUCUUUGGAUGAUUCAUAAUAAAUGAACGGAGCGUAUGGCUUGUGCCGACGCUGUGUCAUUCAAGUUUCUGACCUAUCAGCUUUCGACGGUAGGGUAUUGGCCUACCGUGGCAUUGACGGGUAACGGAGAAUUAGGGUUCGAUUCCGGAGAGGGAGCCCGAGAAACGGCUACCACUUUUAAGGAAGGCAGCAGGCGCGCAAAAUUCCCAAAUCCUGACACAGGGAGGUAGUGACAAGAAAUAACAAAGCAAGCCAGAAUUCAGGUUUUUGCUAUUGGAAUGAGUAGAAUUUAAAAUCUCUUUACGACUAACAAUUGGAGGGCAAGUCU